CAGCAGCCGCGGUAAAACGAAGGGGGCUAGCGUUGUUCGGAAUUACUGGGCGUAAAGCGCACGUAGGCGGAUAUUUAAGUCAGGGGUGAAAUCCCAGAGCUCAACUCUGGAACUGCCUUUGAUACUGGGUAUCUUGAGUAUGGAAGAGGUGAGUGGAAUUCCGAGUGUAGAGGUGAAAUUCAUAGAUAUUCGGAGGAACACCAGUGGCGAAGGCGGCUCACUGGUCCAUUACUGACGCUGAGGUGCGAAAGCGUGGGGAGCAAACAGGAUUAGAUACCCCAGUAGUCCCUGUCUCUUAUAC
Molecule: ribosomal RNA, 301 nt
Filed under: uncultured bacterium
Lineage: Bacteria
Description: partial 16S ribosomal RNA
Rfam family: Bacterial small subunit ribosomal RNA
Source: RNAcentral